UGUUGUGUUUCCGAUCACCCCCUUGAAAUUUUGAAGGGACGGUAGGUAGGGAUUUUUUUUUUUUUUUUUUAUUUUUUUUAUUUUUUUUUAUAUAAUAUUAUGCUUCAUUGCUGUCUCGGUUUUGUUUAAAGGCAUGGACACUUUGUUCAUUGCUUAAGACCAUUUGACAAUUUCCAAGAUUAUUGUGUGAGUUUUUAUCAGCCUUUAAUAGUUUACCCCCUUUUAAAAU
Molecule: long non-coding RNA, 229 nt
Filed under: Mytilus galloprovincialis (Mediterranean mussel)
Lineage: Eukaryota; Metazoa; Mollusca; Bivalvia; Mytilida; Mytilidae
Source: RNAcentral